This 429-nucleotide ribosomal RNA is filed under the name Chloroflexota bacterium. Its description in RNAcentral is "Chloroflexi bacterium partial 16S ribosomal RNA". It matches the Rfam family "Bacterial small subunit ribosomal RNA", at positions 355 to 776 of the family's 1533-position model. Lineage: Bacteria; Bacillati; Chloroflexota. The record is from RNAcentral.
UGGGGAAUAUUGCACAAUGGGCGCAAGCCUGAUGCAGCCAUGCCGCGUGUAUGAAGAAGGCCUUCGGGUUGUAAAGUACUUUCAGCGGGGAGGAAGGGAGUAAAGUUAAUACCUUUGCUCAUUGACGUUACCCGCAGAAGAAGCACCGGCUAACUCCGUGCCAGCAGCCGCGGUAAUACGGAGGGUGCAAGCGUUAAUCGGAAUUACUGGGCGUAAAGCGCACGCAGGCGGUUUGUUAAGUCAGAUGUGAAAUCCCCGGGCUCAACCUGGGAACUGCAUUCGAAACUGGCAGGCUAGAGUCUUGUAGAGGGGGGUAGAAUUCCAGGUGUAGCGGUGAAAUGCGUAGAGAUCUGUAGGAAUACCGGUGGCGAAUGCGGCCCCCUGGACAAAGACUGACGCUCAGGUGCGAAAGCGUGGGGAGCAAACAGG